UGGGGAAUAUUGGACAAUGGGCGCAAGCCUGAUCCAGCCAUGCCGCGUGAGUGAUGAAGGCCCUAGGGUUGUAAAGCUCUUUCACCGGUGAAGAUAAUGACGGUAACCGGAGAAGAAGCCCCGGCUAACUUCGUGCCAGCAGCCGCGGUAAUACGAAGGGGGCUAGCGUUGUUCGGAUUUACUGGGCGUAAAGCGCACGUAGGCGGACUAUUAAGUCAGGGGUGAAAUCCCGGGGCUCAACCCCGGAACUGCCUUUGAUACUGGUAGUCUUGAGGUCGAGAGAGGUGAGGUGAAUUCCGAGUGUAGAGGUGAAAUUCGUAGAUAUUCGGAGGAACACCAGUGGCGAAGGCGGCUCACUGGCUCGAUACUGACGCUGAGGUGCGAAAGCGUGGGGAGCAAACAGG
Molecule: ribosomal RNA, 404 nt
Filed under: Actinomycetes bacterium
Lineage: Bacteria; Bacillati; Actinomycetota; Actinomycetes
Description: Actinobacteria bacterium partial 16S ribosomal RNA
Rfam family: Bacterial small subunit ribosomal RNA
Source: RNAcentral